Molecule: long non-coding RNA, 1132 nt
Organism: Armigeres subalbatus
Lineage: Eukaryota; Metazoa; Arthropoda; Insecta; Diptera; Culicidae
Exons: 3
Source: RefSeq, a predicted model, not a curated record
GCGUCCUGCUAUUUUAUUGACAGCCACGUUGAAGAAAUAACCUCGGAAAUUACUGAACACGUCGUCAAUUUUUUACCGAAGAAACUGUAAUUUUUGACAGUUCAUAUUAAUUUUUGUUUACUGAGCGUUCGGUAAUCCAAAAAAUUACCGGGCUCAUUACCGAACGCUCAGCUGUUUGAAAACCCGGUAAAAUUUUACCGACCCCAGUAAUCUGAGUUUACUGUGCAUGCUCAUCAAGUGGGGCUGAAUCUGGGAAUGUAUCCAGAAUCCCAGAGCUGAAUGCUUACAUCCGUCUGUGUCUGUCUGUUGUCUUGCGGAGCAAAUCGAACCCGACGAAGUGGUGCUUUUGUUAAUUUCUCGCAUUCAUCGAAACGAAUGCCAGCCAGCUUUGGGGAAUUUUUCAUGACACACACAUCUCGGAUAACCGAUACUCGAUUAGCAACAUUAGCACGGAUUACACACAUGAAUGAGAGCGAGGGGAUCAGAGAUGUUUCACAAGCUAAAUUUCAGAAGAUCGAACAGAGAUAUCAUUCACCCAGUAGCACGAUCAUUCACCCGUUUCGAAAACUCCAUUUAAUCACUGCACUUCACCACCUGAGGUAUGUGAAGUCCAAAAAUGUUUCACCGGCGCUAAUGAAGCGUUCACGGUAACUGUAAUUAGUAUAGACAGGAUGCAGGUUUCACGCAGCAAAUCCCAGUUGAAAUAAGCUUCCAUCAGAACUUCUUAUAAGGUGAAGAUUUACAUUUUAAUAAAGCGCGGUAUUGAAGAAUGAUGGAGACGGUAAAGCUAAAACGACCAAUUGGACAACACCUCUAUUCCUGGGCUGCAUGACUACGAUGAUCCGCCAGACGCACCUGUAUGCCACAUUCGAGGCCGCAUUACAAAGAGAAGUCGGGCAAACUCCUGCUGGCCCUAUCCACCCGGUAUUACAAGCGACCGGUAUAAUGCCGUACACGCCCAAUGUUCCGGUCGGGAGAAAUCAGACCCGGUGUCACCAAACUAAAAACGAUACACACUGCGUGCAGCAUCAGAAGCACGCCGCAGCACAUCUUUGUCCAUCUUUGAACUAGUUCAUACCAUUAUUUUAUUAUUAAUAAACAUAAAAAUGUAAAAUAAAAAAAGUAUUCUGAA